RNAcentral lists this long non-coding RNA (1332 nucleotides) under Capsicum annuum. RNAcentral describes it as "long non-coding RNA (CANN_LNC004239)". The record is from RNAcentral. Lineage: Eukaryota; Viridiplantae; Streptophyta; Magnoliopsida; Solanales; Solanaceae.
UUUUAUUCUUUAAUUAGUAAAUCAAUAUGAGAGAGUGACUGCUUGUUCCACAAGUUUACAGUUUACUACCACAAGGAGUAAGGAGAACACAAAUAUAAUUGCAUUAUGCAUACCUUGGCACUUGGCAGAGCAGCAGAACUGCACUACUGCAGAAGUCCGAUUUUGAUCUCUGCACGAGACUGGAAAGCAGCAGACGGCGCCGCCGUGCAGUGUCUGAGCAGCCGGCGUCCAAUGAGACUGUUGUAAGCUGGUGUUGUUUGAAGAAACCGUUUGAAGAAGAAGAAACCCAAAGGUUUUUGAAGAAACCCGUUUGAAGAAAUUCAGAAACACGUUUUUUUUUAACUUUCUUUAAUUACUAAUUAUGGUUUUUUUUUUUUUGGGGUGGGGGGAGCGGGGGAAGUUUGUUGGUAAUCAACACGUUUUUUACUUUCUUUAAUUAGAGAAUGAAUUUUGGAAAAGCAAAUUAAAAAGGUUAAUUAAAAAUCACGUGCACUUGGAGUCCAAGUCUUGGACUGGUGAAAACACUAAACUGAGCAAAAAGUAGUGUGUUUAGUGGGGUUCAAACCCCCAUCUCAAGGACGCAGAGAUGACACACCUAUCACAAGGCUAACAGCCGUGUUUGUGUGUGGGUUCGGACACAUAUAACUAUAUAUGUUUUCCAAAUUUUUUAAUUACAUGUAUAAGGUCUAUGCAAAAGUUAGUGGGUUCGGUCGAACCCCCGUUAACCACUAUAGCUCCGCCCAUGCCUUUGUCCAUCCUUUGGCCGACUUGAUCGGUGUCGAGUAGCAUGGGUGAUUAUGCAAGAUGGAAGGAGGCGCUUAGCUCUCGCGAGAAAUCAAACGCUUCCUCAACAGCUCCGUUUCCCUCUUAGUGUGUUCUUUGUGCGCGCAUAAAUAAUUAAUUAGCUUUAUAAAAUAAACCUCUGCUUAAUAGAUGUUAGCAUGGCAAUGUUACAUUUUUUUUUCACUUCUAAAAUUCAUCAAUUCUGGAGCUUUUCUGUUUUAAAGCGUUUUUAUCUAAUCAACAAUCGAAUAGAAUCACAUAAUACUAUUAGGUGUAUGACUAAAGUUUCACAUGUAAAAUAGAAAAGAAAAAAGGAGUGGAUAACAUGGGUGGAUUAUAUUUGUAUGAACAAAUUUUUUCACCUUAUUGUCAAUCAAAUCAAGAUUUGAAAUAAACGGUGAACUUCUUUUUGCUUAUUGCUCCAUGACUGUUAUAAGGGAGCUAAUGGGCUAUCGGGCGCAACCCUUAUGGAUAGACCCGAUCCAACAAAUAUUUUCAACAAUAUUAAUUGAACAUGUGCCACAAUCACUUUCUAUUCAUCUUCUGACU